RNAcentral lists this ribosomal RNA (489 nucleotides) under Amanita sp. 'maryaliceae'. Its description in RNAcentral is "partial 28S ribosomal RNA". It matches the Rfam family "Eukaryotic large subunit ribosomal RNA", at positions 1 to 481 of the family's 3401-position model. Lineage: Eukaryota; Fungi; Basidiomycota; Agaricomycetes; Agaricales; Amanitaceae. The record is from RNAcentral.
UUGACCUCAAAUCAGGUAGGACUACCCGCUGAACUUAAGCAUAUCAAUAAGCGGAGGAAAAGAAACUAACAAGGAUUCCCUUAGUAACUGCGAGUGAAGAGGGAAAAGCUCAAAUUUAAAAUCUGGCAGUGUUUCACUGUCCGAGUUGUAACCUAGAGAAGUGUAACCUGCACUGGACCGUGUACAAGUCUCCUGGAAUGGAGCAUCACAGAGGGUGAGAAUCCCGUCUUUGACAUGGACUGCCAGUGCAUUGUGGUUGUGCUCUCAACGAGUCGAGUUGUUUGGGAAUGCAGCUCUAAAUGGGUGGUAAAUUCCAUCUAAAGCUAAAUAUUGGCGAGAGACCGAUAGCGAACAAGUACCGUGAGGGAAAGAUGAAAAGAACUUUGGAAAGAGAGUUAAACAGUAUGUGAAAUUGUUGAAAGGGAAACGUUUGAAGUCAGUCGCGUCGGCUGGGGAUCAACCUGACUUUUUGUUGGGUGUACUUCCUGG